Molecule: long non-coding RNA, 556 nt
Organism: Bufo bufo (common toad)
Lineage: Eukaryota; Metazoa; Chordata; Amphibia; Anura; Bufonidae
Exons: 4
Source: RefSeq, a predicted model, not a curated record
UUGGAUACGGUAUGUCAUGUUUUAAAGCUUUAUUUUAUUAUCUCAUGUCCAAAAUAUUAAUGUUUUUUUUCUUUCACAGCAAUCGUCAACGGAGGAGAGGUGUUCCGGACCUGCUCCGUCAACGGGAGAGGAGGAAGUCGGGGGUGGACACCAUGAAGCGUCUAAUCCUACUGUUGCCUCAAGAGGUCGUCAGCAACCAUCCACAAGGCGCCGGGGAGCACGCGGCGGUCGGGGACGUGGUUCAAGGGCCUCUGCCAGAACGGAUGAGGAGGAAUUAUCCGGAUUCUAUAUUGAUAAUGAACUCCUCAUCCAUCUGGUGGAGGAACGCGUCCCACUCUGGGACCAUACCGACCGCCGCCAUGCAGAUCAUCACCUGACCCGGAGUCUGUGGAUGGAGAUUUGUUGCAAAAUACUUCUGGAUUGGGACGACCUCAGUGAAGGCCAACAGGAAGAUUGCAAGACGUCAGUCAUGGUGCGAUGGCGCUCAAUAAGGGACCGCUAUAAGAAAGAUUAUAACGAGGAGGUCAAUCGCCCGAGUGGGUCUGGCGGAACCCGC